AGGGGUAUAGUUUAAAGGUAGAACGAAGGUCUCCAAAACCUUUGGUGUGGGUUCAAUUCCUACUACCCCUG
Bacillus sp. MRMR6 is the source of this 71-nucleotide transfer RNA. It matches the Rfam family "tRNA". Rfam says of the family: Transfer RNA (tRNA) molecules are approximately 80 nucleotides in length. Their secondary structure includes four short double-helical elements and three loops (D, anti-codon, and T loops). NCBI's taxonomy places the organism in Bacteria, Bacillati, Bacillota, Bacilli, Caryophanales, Bacillaceae. The record is from Rfam.